This 497-nucleotide ribosomal RNA is filed under the name uncultured bacterium. RNAcentral's name for it is "partial 16S ribosomal RNA". It matches the Rfam family "Bacterial small subunit ribosomal RNA", at positions 28 to 507 of the family's 1533-position model. The record is from RNAcentral.
GAUGAACGCUGGCGGCGUGCCUAAUACAUGCAAGUCGAGCGAACAGACGAGGAGCUUGCUUCUCUGAUGUUAGCGGCGGACGGGUGAGUAACACGUGGAUAACCUACCUAUAAGACUGGGAUAACUUCGGGAAACCGGAGCUAAUACCGGAUAAUAUUUUGAACCGCAUGGUUCAAAAGUGAAAGACGGUCUUGCUGUCACUUAUAGAUGGAUCCGCGCUGCAUUAGCUAGUUGGUAAGGUAACGGCUUACCAAGGCAACGAUGCGUAGCCGACCUGAGAGGGUGAUCGGGCAAACUGGAACUGAGACACGGUUCAGAACCCUACGGGGGGCAAGCAGAGGGAAUCCUCCGGCAUGGGCGAAAGCGUGAAGGAGCAAACGCGGGUGAGUGGAGAAAGGUCUCGGGUCCGAAAAACCCGUUUUUUAGGAAAAAACAAUGUGGAAAGUACCAGGGACGACUUGACGGUUACUAAACCAAAAAGCCCGGCUAACUUACUG